AGGAUGAACGCUGGCGGCGUGCCUAACACAUGCAAGUCGAACGGAUGCCUUCGGGCAUUAGUGGCGCACGGGUGAGUAACACGUGGUUGACCUACCCCAAAGUAGGGGAUAACGUUCCGAAAGGAAUGCUAAUACCCUAUAAGCUCCCGGCUUUUAGAACCCUGGGAGAAAAGUUCCGGCGCUUUGGGAGGGGACUGCGGACCAUCAGCUAGUUGGUGUGGUAAAGGCGCACCAAGGCAACGACGGUUA
Molecule: ribosomal RNA, 249 nt
Filed under: uncultured soil bacterium
Lineage: Bacteria
Description: partial 16S ribosomal RNA
Rfam family: Bacterial small subunit ribosomal RNA
Source: RNAcentral